Molecule: ribosomal RNA, 1424 nt
Filed under: Streptococcus thermophilus
Lineage: Bacteria; Bacillati; Bacillota; Bacilli; Lactobacillales; Streptococcaceae
Description: 16S ribosomal RNA
Rfam family: Bacterial small subunit ribosomal RNA
Source: RNAcentral
AAGAGAGGAGCUUGCUCUUCUUGGAUGAGUUGCGAACGGGUGAGUAACGCGUAGGUAACCUGCCUUGUAGCGGGGGAUAACUAUUGGAAACGAUAGCUAAUACCGCAUAACAAUGGAUGACACAUGUCAUUUAUUUGAAAGGGGCAAUUGCUCCACUACAAGAUGGACCUGCGUUGUAUUAGCUAGUAGGUGAGGUAAUGGCUCACCUAGGCGACGAUACAUAGCCGACCUGAGAGGGUGAUCGGCCACACUGGGACUGAGACACGGCCCAGACUCCUACGGGAGGCAGCAGUAGGGAAUCUUCGGCAAUGGGGGCAACCCUGACCGAGCAACGCCGCGUGAGUGAAGAAGGUUUUCGGAUCGUAAAGCUCUGUUGUAAGUCAAGAACGGGUGUGAGAGUGGAAAGUUCACACUGUGACGGUAGCUUACCAGAAAGGGACGGCUAACUACGUGCCAGCAGCCGCGGUAAUACGUAGGUCCCGAGCGUUGUCCGGAUUUAUUGGGCGUAAAGCGAGCGCAGGCGGUUUGAUAAGUCUGAAGUUAAAGGCUGUGGCUCAACCAUAGUUCGCUUUGGAAACUGUCAAACUUGAGUGCAGAAGGGGAGAGUGGAAUUCCAUGUGUAGCGGUGAAAUGCGUAGAUAUAUGGAGGAACACCGGUGGCGAAAGCGGCUCUCUGGUCUGUAACUGACGCUGAGGCUCGAAAGCGUGGGGAGCGAACAGGAUUAGAUACCCUGGUAGUCCACGCCGUAAACGAUGAGUGCUAGGUGUUGGAUCCUUUCCGGGAUUCAGUGCCGCAGCUAACGCAUUAAGCACUCCGCCUGGGGAGUACGACCGCAAGGUUGAAACUCAAAGGAAUUGACGGGGGCCCGCACAAGCGGUGGAGCAUGUGGUUUAAUUCGAAGCAACGCGAAGAACCUUACCAGGUCUUGACAUCCCGAUGCUAUUUCUAGAGAUAGAAAGUUACUUCGGUACAUCGGUGACAGGUGGUGCAUGGUUGUCGUCAGCUCGUGUCGUGAGAUGUUGGGUUAAGUCCCGCAACGAGCGCAACCCCUAUUGUUAGUUGCCAUCAUUCAGUUGGGCACUCUAGCGAGACUGCCGGUAAUAAACCGGAGGAAGGUGGGGAUGACGUCAAAUCAUCAUGCCCCUUAUGACCUGGGCUACACACGUGCUACAAUGGUUGGUACAACGAGUUGCGAGUCGGUGACGGCGAGCUAAUCUCUUAAAGCCAAUCUCAGUUCGGAUUGUAGGCUGCAACUCGCCUACAUGAAGUCGGAAUCGCUAGUAAUCGCGGAUCAGCACGCCGCGGUGAAUACGUUCCCGGGCCUUGUACACACCGCCCGUCACACCACGAGAGUUUGUAACACCCGAAGUCGGUGAGGUAACCUGUGGAGCCAGCCGCCUAAGGUGGGACAGAUGACUGGGGU